UCCCUGGUGGUCCAGUGGCUUAGACUCCGUGCUCCCAACGCAGGGGCCCAGGUUCGAUUCCUGGUCAGGGAA
Molecule: non-coding RNA, 72 nt
Organism: Bos taurus (domestic cattle)
Lineage: Eukaryota; Metazoa; Chordata; Mammalia; Artiodactyla; Bovidae
Source: Rfam